CAUUAGGCAGUUGAACGUACAUGUGUACUCCACACACCCUGGGCACUGGCAACCCACGCUAUGCCACUGAGUGGAGGACACGGCCCUGUUGCCACUGUUGAAGUGAGAUUCGAUCACCUGUCCUGUAGGUUUCUGUACAGGGGGUUGUUUAAGGGGGCAAGCAGGGAAAACUCUUCGUCUCAGGCUGCAGAAUGCCUGGAGCCAACUCUGAUUCCUAGAAAAUACAUUCAUGUUAAAGGGGAAAGGGUGCUUAUUGGGCGUAGGCUUAUGAGUCUGCGCAUGGAAAACUGCUCAUAUGUGCCUCCCACUGUGUCUCAACCAGAAUCCGUGUCAUGGGCCAGAUGUUUUUGUGGUUGUUAAUCAGUACCUGAAAUAGAUCCGAAAGGACUGAUGUGGGGAGACAGAACCUCUCUAUCUCUGAAGUGUAUAGCAACCACCCACCCCUCAAACCCAUCUCACAGGGUGGCUUUCACAUUGAUUUUCUUUGUGAAUAUACUUCAGGAAAUAAUCUUUUAAUCUGUGAGAUGGAUACAUAUUUUUGACAAGCUUUUCAUCUUCACUUGUUGAUAAGAGUGACAUUAAACCAGCAAGUCAUUAAUCGAGGCUUGUAUCAGAAAGAUUUCUCUUUACACGGAACUUAUGAGGUGGGGGGAAAUUAACUUAAGUGAAAAUCCUGUUCAAUAUAGUAUAAAUCUCCUUUGCACUCUUCCCCCCUUUUCCUGUGGUUGUAAGUGCUCUAGGUCUACUUCGGGGCCUGUUCACACUUGCAAAAACAUCACUUGAUUAGUGAACAGAUGAUGGCUGAAUGGGAGCUCACCCACUUUCUCACUGGAGUAAGUACUGCAUUUGAAGUAAAGGGAAUGCAUGGCCGCUCACUUACUCACUGGAGAAACAUUGCAAUGAGAAGUGAUUUGAAACCUACUUGUAUAGUUUGACAUGUGAAGGUUUAUUCAUGCAUGCAAGUCAUUGUCUGAGGCUUCGGCCACAUUGAUGAGCAUACAUGUAUGAAUCAACCCUUCAGCAAUGGGAAGAAUCACACCUGACUUAAUGACACACACAUAUAUAUAUAUUGUUGUUGUUGUUGUUUAGUCAUUUAGUCGUGUCCGACUCUUCGUGACCCCAUGGACCAGAGCACGCCAGGCAAUAUAUAUAUAUAUAUAUAUAUAUAUAUAUAUAUAUAUAUAUAUAUAAAAUCAGAUAGUUGUUUAUUUCCUUGACAUCUGAUGGAAGGGCAAUUCCACAGGGCACAAAUACAGAGAAGGCCCUGUAACCUCACUUCUUGCAAUGAGGAAACUGCCAGAAUGCACUCAGAGGUGAACCUCAGUGUCCAGGCUGAAUGAUGGUGGUGGAGAUGUUCCUUCAGGUACACCUAGCAUCUCCUAGCAUAAUACCUCUCCCAUUAAAUGUUCAAGUGGUUCUGGGUAGUAAAGCAGCAAAUUCUGUACAGAAACAACACAAUCCCUGUUCAGGAAUUAAAAAAAAAAAAACAGUUAUAUUUUGAGUAGACAAAUUGAAAUCAAUGAGACUUAGGUGAGUCCCAUUUAUUUCAGUCCUACUCCUUUCGGUAGGUCUACUCUAAGCAUGAACUACAUCUGGCUCUAAUCCAGAUAAACUAGCACAGGAGAACUUAGCGCUGGCUUGUACCCUGUGCUUGGAUUCAUAUCAGAGGGGCUUUUUAAAUUGCUUUAUCCCAUAUCUGAUCCAGGUUAUAGUUUCUCAAAUUUCCCUUAAGAAUGUUCUGUGACCCUGUUUCAGUAGAAAAAUAAUUUGUUUACAGUAGUCUAUCUACGGCUCUGAUUCCUUUGUUUGAUUCUCAAGUUCCCAAAUGCAAUUGAGGUUGGAGGGCAGAAGAGGUAGGAAGAGGUCAGUUGUACGGGAUACAUACAAAUGAAUUCUUCCGGCUUCUCUCCUGGAAAAAAAAAAAAAAGCAGUAAGAGAAGGGAAAUAUUUCACCUUGGUGGUGGUGGGGGAAUGGAUCGUGUUUCAGAGAAAUAGUUAGGAUGGGUCAAUGGGUAGUUACAGCGCAUCCUCAUUGAUAAAAGGGGGGUAAUCAGAGGCUGCAAUAAGGUGAAACCGAAGGAAAUUAAUUGGGCAUUUUUGUCUUACCUUUCCUUAAUGUUUAGAUCGGCCCCUUUCUGAUUCACACAUGCUAGUUAUCUCUCGAGUCUACAGACAGGUGACAAAUAUGUAUGUGUGAAGCAGAAUAAACAAAGGGCUCAAAGUACCCGAAAGUAACAAUUUCAGCCAGUCGUCUUCCUCGGAGCGAGUCGUCUUCUUGUGCCUUAUUUGGUACAGCGCUCACAACGACCCUGUGAGGUUGGUUAAGCAGGAAAACCCUGGCUCGCUGCAGGGAGGAGGGAUCUUUCCCCAGUCCAAGCUUAAGGGCAGCACUCAACAUAGCACUAAGCAGAUAAUUUCACUGGUGCAAGCAUUUCUGCUUGUCUGACAGAAAAAUCUCUGGGGAAACCCCACCAGAUGGGUGGGGUAUAAAUCAUAAUAAAUCAUCAUCAUCAUCUCCCCCAGAUGCUGGUCUGGAGGUUCUGCUGACCAUUUGGAGCAGAUGGUGGGGCGGAGGAGAAAGGGGAAAUGCCUUUGGACUAGCAAGAGUCCUUGCACUGGCUUCCACUAACGGAACCCAGAAGUUAACUCACCCACAGAUUUUGCCCACCACACUCUGCCUUAGACCAAUUCCUGCUAUGGACUCAUAAUGUAGCAGCAUCGAGCAAGUCAUGAUCUCUUGUUUCAGUUUCUCAUCUAUGAAACGAUCCAACCCUCAGAGGAUUUUGAGGGAUUAAAUACAAUAAAGGCAUUGCUAAAAAGAAGAAGAAGAAGAUGUUUACUGAUUCGUUAGAAGCUACUAACGCCAGUUUUGGACGAUAUACCCCCCAGCCCUAAUAGAUAGAGUCGUAAUUUUUGACCUGACAAUAUAUCCUGAAUCAUGAUGUGUGUUAGGGCUGGACGAUAUUUUGACCAAAACUGGUUUGAAGUUUGUAUCAUGAUAUCGGUUUCAUAAUUUUUUACCUGGCAAUAUAUAAUGAAUUGUGUGUGUGUGUGCACGCACACGCAAAAAUCACGAUGCAGGGGAAACCGUGAAGCCAGCCAAUGCCUCUAUAUAGCUCCAUCCUUAUUCCAGACAUCUCGAUAUAUCAGUAUAUUGCAAUGUUUAGCUGGUGAUAUAUCACAAUGUUGAAAACCAGAUACCGCCCAGCCCUACUACCUAUGUGUUGUUAUACCAUAUGGAUAAAACAAUAACCCUCUUCAGGUGUUCUGGUUACUGACACGAUUCUCACUGGGUCUCAGGGCCAUCUUUCGCAUAUGUGGCGCCGGGGUGCAAAAAACUGCCCAGCGCCCCCAAUUUUGGGGGGUGGGCAGGCCAAAGUUGUUCAGAUUUUUUUAGGGGGCAGCUUAGAGUUGUUUAGCUUUUGGGGGGCAACUCUCUCCCAUGCCGCUGCAGGAGGAGAGCAAUCCCCACAGAGGCUUGGGAGGGAGCUGCACACCUCGUGUGAGCAGCGUACGUGUGCUCCGUGGGCCUCUCGAUGGCCCGCCAAUCCCAGGCGCACAAGAGAGCAGGAGGGCUGCCUCAGCGCCCGCAGCAGAAAAGCCUGCAGCGCUCUGACGGGUUCUGUUUCGCUUGGCAGCAGCUGUCAACUGACCUGACUCUUCAAUCUCCAAACUCCAAAUCUUGGCCCUGGACUCUUGGCCUGGCGCCCCUGAGAGCCCGGCGCCCGGGUGCCCUGCAUUCCUAGCGCCUAUGGGUAAGCCGGCCCUGCUGGGCCUGAGUGGAGAAGAGCGGGCAUGUGCUGAAAAGACCCACCCCCUCUGACACUUCACUGCCCUCAGCUUAAGAACCAGUAGCAAAUUAUUGCCAACAGCAUUUGCUUUUAUUGCACCCAUGAAAUGGUUGCACAGAACUGAUUUCCUGAAUGCACACAUAUAUGUGUGUUUUUUUUACAAUGCAACCACAUAUUAUAUGGCAUUCGAGCCCAUGAAUAUAUUGCUACCAGACUGGUGUUUAUUAUGAAGAAACCCUGCACCUUAAGAGUCUGAGACAAAGAAAUUUAAUCGCAUGUGUCUCCUUUUAAAAACGUACCUUAGCUGAGGUUUUUGAAAACCCAGAAAAUAAUAAUAAUGAUAAUAAAUCGAAAGCUUUUAUUUAUUUUGCCAAAGAUGCUUCUUAAAUAAAUAAAACAGAUUGUGUCCAAUAGAUAGGAUCUUUUCUUGCCCACCCCCUCCCCAAGAUGAGCCCAACUUGUGUGAGUCUUCCAUUUCCAACUCUUGUCAAUUUGCAGGAGGUGGUGUGUAAAAGCACUUUAGUAGGGAAAAGCAGCAAUCUCCAUGCAUCAAAGUUAGAUGGCGGCGGGGUUAUCACUCCGUGAAAAUCACAUAAACAUUCCCCAUAUGAAAUAUUAUUCAUCAGGGCAAAGCCCUCCAAGGGUUUCGCAGAUGACAAUGGUGUCAAGAAACCUCUUUUUGAAAAAGGGAAGAAAUGUAUUCUGCCUCUCGGAUUGCUUCUGUAGCCAGGCAGCAGGCAGGGCGGUGGAGGGAGGAAUGAACAUAAUUGAGUCGAGAAUUAGCAAACCUUAAAUAUCUGUCGCUGCAAUAUCAUUACCCAUAAACUUGCCCUUUCCCCACCCUUUUUUCCCCAAAGACCGCCAUCCCAUAACUGCAGCAAGACGGAAUAUGUUCUUUCGAACAGCUAAAUCAACAAGGUCUCACAUGAGUAAUGCCGAGUUGGUGUGGUUGACUGGUUUCAUGAAAAACUAAUCAUGUAUUCAUCAUUGAGAUCAAACACUUCCCAAGUAAUUACUAUCAAAACCAAUCUGAAGAGAGAGAAAAUUCUGAAGGGGUGGCAUGGCUGAUCUAAUCAGCUGUGGAAGAGAAAUAAGAGUUCUCCUAGCUCUUCAGGGUUGUUGUUUUUUUUUAAGAUAGGCUCGGGUUAAAAAAAUAAAUAAAAAUUACAAGACAGUAAUUGUAUUUUUUUUAUAAUUAAGGAAGAGAAAGUUGCCACCCAGCAACCAAUCACUUCAGAUCAACCAUUACAACUUCAGCUUAGACUUCUCCUUUAUUAAGACCAUCACAUUUGCCAACUGAUUCCCUCCCCCCAGUAUAAUAAUAAUACUUACAAAAGUGGUUUAUUGUUCAACUUCUGCUUGCGGGAUAAAAAUGGGUGGCGAUUAGGUAGUUUUUUGAUGAAAUGCAAGAGCCAUGGGAUUGCAAGAUGUAAAUCUGUGGUAGUAUAUGGAUUUAUUUUCCUCUACAUUGGCUUGAUGCUUUUAAAAAACAAAGCAAAGCAAAAACAUCUUAACCAAAUUGUGUGACGUUCAUUGUUUUAAAAUUACUGUCAUUAUACAAUGCCAGAAUUAAGUCAAUAGCAGGGCUUUCCCCCCUUUAACGGACUGCAGGGCUUUUGUAAACAACAACAAGAAAAUCUGAUCCAUAGAUUUGUUUAUUUAAUCUACCAAGCUUUAGUCAGAGGCAGGCUUUGGGCACCAGGUGGAGAGAGCCAGAAACUUGGGCUCAGGAUGGAAGAGCAGGCAGGAUCAGAAGGCAAAUGAGAAGGGAGAGCUGGAGAACAAGUCAGGAGUCCAGAUCAUGGGACAAUCUGGGUCAGAGGGCAAAUAAGGGAGCAGGUCCAGAGAACAAGUCAGGACUGAGACACAAGCCCAGAAAUGUAAGACGCGCUAGUGCUCAGAUAGACCUCUUUGCUUGAAGAAGGCUUAGCUGGAAAAGGAAGUUCUUCCUGCCCAGGAGAACUUGUUAACCUGCUGAGGAGGUACAGCCAAGCCAGAAAAGGAAAGUUCUUCUUCAGAAGGCUGCAGUUAUGGGAUCCACCAUGUGUGGCAAUGGCUGGCAGUUCCUGAAACCUGAAUAUUGCAUCCCCCCCCGAAAAAAAAGUUCACCGUAGUGAGUAGAGGUUAGGAGAGAAAACAGAAAAGAAAAUAGCAGACCCUCCAGGUGUCCAUAUUUUCCAGGGACGUCCCUGAUUUAGCGAACCUGUCCCAGUUUCUGAUUUGAUCCUGGAAUGUCCCACUUUUCCUUAGGAUGUCCCUAUUUUCACUGGAGAAAUGUUGGAGGUUAUGGAGUUAUCCGACCCCCGAGCCGUCUGAAGGCAAUCCUGCAUAGGGAAGUUUAAAAAAAAAAAAAAUUUAAUGUUUUAUUAUGUUUUAUACAUGUUGGAAGCUGCCCAGAGUGUCUGGGGCAACCCAGUGAGAUGUGUGGGAUAGAAAUAGUAAAGUGAUCAUUAUGGAACGGGACAUCCCUAUUUUCAUUGGAGAAAUGUUGGAGGGUAGGAAAUAGCUGUUGUAGCUAAGAAGUUUGAAAGAUUUAAGGUAAGACUGACUGGGGACAUUUCUGAGGGAGUUGCAUCUGGGACGGGGGCAAACUAGAUGUGACAUUUAGUUGCAUAUACAGCCCUGUUCAGGCACUCCUCUCAUGUGGUUAUCAUCGUAGCAUCAUAGAAUUGUAGAAUCAGGAGGAAUCCCAAGGGUCAUCUAGUCUAGCUCCCUGCAAUGCAGGAAUCUCAGUUAACGAAUCCCUGAUGGUUGUCCAACCUCUGUUUAUAAACCUCCCAGGAAGGAGAGUCUUUUGAGAAGAAGAGUGGGAGGCAUGCUCCCUGCCUCCUCCAUUGGAUCGCCACCACUGCUCUUGCUCCUCUACAUAUGUCGGUUGUUGAACUUCGGUAGAGGGGAAGCUGUGUAGGUCUCUUGUGUGAUUUAGAGCCCCAGAAUUGCACAGGGAGCAUAGACAAAUAAAGCAGGCUCAUGAAUCGAAAAGGCAGCUCACCAGGUACUGGAGCAGUGGGGAGAUUUUCUUUUAAGCCAAGAGAGGAGGGGGGAAGCAAUUCUGCCAUUGUUGCUUUUGUGAGUCAGCCCUGCCUCACUGCUGAAAACCCUGAGAUUCCUCUUGUCUCUCCCCCUCCAAAUCACCCCAAACAUUUAUUUUCCUUCUGCUCUGUUUUUAACCCCUAAACAUUCUCUCUCCACAAUAUCCCACUCCCAGUUUUCUAGAAAGGCUCCUGGUGAAUCUUUCAGAUCAGUACAAAAAUAAACAACCUUACCUGGGCACAGGAUCUCAACCUUAAUCAUUGGAGACCAUGGAAUGAGCGAGUCGUUAAGAUCGCAGUUUCUGUUUUCCUGGGGAAAUGGAUAGCAAUUCGGGAUCCAGGGAGUCACAUAUGAAUUAUCAGGUAAUAGUGGGGCAAGUUUCCUUUUUAGAAGUGUUCGAUGCAAACUUCCCAUAGUGCACUUCUGCUUGGGUUGCAUGACCACAACCUUUAAAGAGGCUUCCUCAACCUCAGCCUUCCGGAUGUUUUUGGCCUUCAACUCCCAUGAUCCCUAGCUAGCAGGACCAGUGGUCUGGGAUGCUGGGAAUUGUAGUCUCAAAACAUCUGGAGGGCCGAGGUUGAGGAAGCCUGCUUUAAAGGUUUGUUUAUAUGAUUCCGAGCCUCACAGAAAAUGUGAGAAAUUUCACCUGAAUUCCAUAUGCUAUGGAGGGAGACGGUCAAGAGAUAUGCUAAUAUCUUCGCCUGCUUUUCGGUAAAGCCUGUCCAAAGGAAAUGCAGAUCCCGGUUGACAAUUAAAAAGAGAGAAAAAAAUCUAUAAUGCAGAACCAUUUCUGUCUUUUGUAACUAAUGAAGGGCUUUUAGUAUUGACCAGCAUCCAGUCUAAUAAUGACAUUGACUCCACUCAUUUGAAGCCAUAAAUUUAAAGACAUGGCAGGGCCUAUAUUAGUAUAAUAAACUCAAACGUUCAUUGCAGUUUAAGAAAACAUCUGGGAGCCAAUUGAGCAUUACAGAUAUUCAUGUUGCUUUCUCUUCAGUAGCACCAUAUGCUUCAAUUCCUUCCUUCCUUCCUUCCUUCCUUCCUUCCUUCCUUCCUUCCUUCCUUCCUUCCUUCCUUCCUAAUAUGGAUUCUACUCAAACAAAACAGCUGGAGACAGAUAAUAGUUUUUAAUUCCAUAGGGAUAUCUGUGUCAGUGUGUUGUAGCAAAAACAAGAGUGUUCAGGACAUCUUAGAAAUGAGUAACAAAUACAUUGCAACACACGCUUUGGUGAGUCAAAACUGAGGAUUUAAAGGUGAACUUACCUCAUUCUCACCUUCCCAAACAACACAUAAACCGUCGUCCUUCGAAAUCCACGGUUCUCAAGAUUUCGCAAUGUGGUUCUCCAUCCAAGUCAGAUGUGCACACAUGCAUAUGUCAGAUUAAAGUUUGCAUGUAAAACGCAUAUACAGUAUUAGUGAAAACCUAUCAAGAGCCAUUAUAUUAGGCAAACUUGCUUUGCAGAGAUGUGCAUAUUGGAAGAAAAUUGCACUAAAAUGCUGAUGAAUUUUCAUGAGGAAGUUUUGAAGAAUAAAAUUGCAAUCUGAUGUGGAAAUGAGAAACUGAAAUCAACUUCGGGGCUCUGAGAAGUGACAGAUCUUCUUAGAAUUAGGCAACUUCAGAAAGAUGGCCAGAAGAAUGCCAUUGCCAUUGCCGUGGUUUGUCAUGGUGGCUAGAAAGACAUUUAAGCAGCUUUUUGAAAAUUCUAAGAUUAAAAUUAUGAGGCAAACUGCAGCCAAUGAACAGGCAGUGCCUGACUACCUCACCUGGAAUGCCUGGCUCUGAGAAUAAGGUAUUUGCCUUGGUCCUUAUAAGAGAUAGUGGAGGCAGAUGCCUAGCUGGCCACUGCAGAUGAGAGCUGGACCUGGUGGUAAGUGAGCAAACUGGAAGUCAGGCCUGCAGGGGACCCUUCUAAAUCCUGGGUCCCUAAGCCAGAGCAUGACCUGGGCAACAUCUGGUGCAUAGGAACUAACAAAGGGCCCACAUAAAAUAUUUGAGGGAGUCCUCCCAAAAAAGUUGGUGGGCAUUGCCAUUUAAAUGGUGUGUGCUUGAGUGGCGAGUUCCCGCCUCCCCCUCGGAAAUAAAGACACAGGACACCAGUAUUUUAGGUUAAUGGGCGAAAAUAGGCCACAACUUUAUUGAUUACAGGAAUUGAGCGGUAUUGGCUUAGGCAUUGGUCCUAUCGUCUAACCGGCUUCAGCCUGAUUGCUUGAAGACCGGCAAGGGUUAACCACCAGUAGGGGGAGUCCUGCUGAUGUACAUCAACUAGGAGCUCCCCCGGGGUCACCGCUCGGGGGCGUGCCUUAGGCCCACACCUCCAUAGGCUUCGGACAGGGCAACGCCCCCCAGAAUCCUUUACCGGACUACCCUUCGAUAUGGGAGAAGGUGAUGGUGCUUUCUCCCCCCCCCACUCAUCUGCAUAACAAUACCCUUACCAAUGCCUAACCGCCAAUGCCGAGGAAGUUGUGACGAUUUGCUACGAGGUAGGUGAAAAACCAAGUGGCUGGUGCCAAUUUGCCAAGUGGAAAAAAAUCCUACCAGGCCCCUUGACGGUGACCAACCGAAGUCCAUAGCAAUGUCAAAGAGCCAAACCUAAAGGGUGGGAGGGUGGGAAACCGGAGCAGCUGGGGCGCUGGAGAAAGAGGGAAAUCCUUGGCCGUGCCAGCCCUAAAUAGUGCGGGCCACGGCUCCCGGGCCAGCCGAUUGGCUGGCAAGGGAGAUGACGCGUGCGAGGAAUUCCCGAUCUCGCGGGGGCUGCAAGCCAGCCCCUGCGCAAGUGGGGGGAGGGCAUGAAGUCCGCAACCCCACCUCCUCUCCAGCCCGGAAGUGGCUUUGUGGUCAAGAUUUUAUUCAUUAUGGGUGAACUUGUAAGGACUUGUGGCAGCUGUUGCUGGAUUUCUGAGUCUCAUAAGCCCAAGCCAGCAUGGUCAGUGGUCAGGAUUGAUGGGACUGGCAGUCAAAUGAUUUCUGGAGGCCCACAUAUUCCUCACUUCACCCAGCACAAAAGCGUCUUUCUCUUCUUGGGUUUUCCUCUUUCUCUCUGUUUUUUUCUGCUCUGCUCUUGGUGGUGCCACAAAGAACCCUCUCCAGCCCAUUUCUUCACUGCUAUGCAAGCCUUCUUCUCUCAACCCAUUUCCCAGAAUUCUCAUUCUCUUGCAGGCCCGCCAAGUCCACGGGGCAGAGGCCUCUACAGCACUGUAAUAUUCGUUGGGAUGGAGCUCAGCCCCCCUCAAUCUUGCAUCUAAUUUGCUAAUUUUAUUUGAACGGAAUAAUUAUUUGGGAGCAUUUAAAAGCAUAUUUAUAAAUAUUAUAUAUAUUGUACCAUAAUAAGAUGAGGAGGACUUCUGCAACAACAACAAGCUGGUCGCAGGUGCAGGUUUAGAAGGGCCAAAUUGUAUGUGAUGUUAAUUGCUGAAAUGUAGAUUAUAAGCCUGAGCAGCCUUGGGAAAGGGUUAACUCUUGUCCUACCUGCUACCACCCUAGGGCAAUCAUCUCUCCCCAGCUGCUAUUUGCAUUUCAGAGGAAACUCCCAUUGGUGCCAAAGGCAGAACAUUUUUUCACAAUGGGUUCAGGAAUGCCUGUCUACUAUUCAGACUUGAUAGCAAGCCUCCUGGGUUAACCUUAAUCGAAAGUCAUUUUUUCCAAUACAAUUUUUUGGUUCCUGAAAUUCUUUAUGAUCGUGCAGAUAAAAUAUAACAGAUAUAAUUCUACAGGAUGUGUUGCUAAUGUGUGAAAACAGUCCCGAUCCAAGUAUCCCCAUCUUCAGAUGGUGGAGACCUCAGGUGCCAUCCUGGCACCCGGGCAACUUCACUUGGUUGCAAGUGGCCGAUAGCCAGGUGCAAAAUAUGCCUGGUGCCUGGCAAAUUUCAAACACUGGUUCCAAGAGUCUUGCCUACUAGGAUCGAGAAGCCAUAGUUGUAGUAUGUCUUCAACACAUGGGCUCAGUAACACACACAGGUCUUUUCCAGAACAGAGGCUGUGUUUAUUGAACCUGUAGAACCAAACAACACAAACUGAUUUACUGCAGUGGGGAAUAUCUCAGCCAAAUACGCACCUGCCUUUGGAGAAAUCAGCUCCACUAAGUGGCAUUGGCCACUUUGGUUUGUGAGAAAUAUAGCAAAACCAGUCUAACGAUGCCUAAAUUAGGCUCCAUAUUGAAGUAUGCAAAGAAAUCCAAAAUGUUUUUAGUUGUGGAAAAGCAAGAAACACUGCAAUAUAUGCGAGUAAUCUCACAAGCAAGGUGGAUGGAAUUCAUUGGAGACUGAUUCUACAAUCUGUUUGUGACGGUUUUGAUGGUGGUGCUUCUCCCUUUACUGCCCUUUUGGCUGAGCAGCCCCCCACCCCACCCCUCCGAUUCUCCACCCACCAUAACAACAGGAUGCACAAUGGAAAGUCAUGUUUACAAAUCUCGCAUGCAAAUGAUUUGCAGAGGAGCCCAUGCUAUGCAGCAAUUUAAAUUUGUUGACAGAGUUGCUAAGAGACGACCCCUUUUGAUUCUCUGAAAUUCUGUUUGAUUCGGCUCUGGGCUCUGACAGCUGAAGUUAUUGAACAAGAGUGAGGACUCUUUAAAAGGGGGGGAGGAUCCUGCCAUUUGCUAUGUUUUCAGAGCCUGUAACACAACACUGAAUAUUUCUUCGGUGUCGGUUUUACUCGGCACGGGAGUGUCGGGUUCCAUGCAGGGCUGCUUUUCAGCUCCCCUGUAUGGUAAUAAAUGGCUUGAGCACUGAAUUCCACUGCUACACACACACGCUUCACAAAGGAUUUAUGAAUCUCAUAAGGUUCUUUGACAUCUCCCUUUUAAGUCCCUGUAUUUUUACUAGGGGCUCUUGAAAUAUUCAUUCUCUAACAUGCUUACAUACAGAGGCUAAUGGGCAGUGGACACCACUUCUUCUCUUGCUGACCUUAGGAGAGAAAUGAACCCUCUCCAAGAGAGUCAUAGGCAGGCAAUUAAAACAAGGCACCCAUAAGACACAUUCAGUUCUGUCCAGCAGUCAGCAUUAACACGCUAGCUACCAUUAAAAGUCCUUCAUAAAGAAGGAUGAGGCCUGGAGAACUUCCUUUGGGAAGGGGGUUCCACAACUGUGCCUCCUACUUUCUGCACCAUCACUAAUUCGAUCCCUGUUCAAGUCUUCAAUGUCAAACAUGGAAGAGGGGCAGGUCUUGUUUGCUGCUUUGCUGAGCCCCUGUUCCUGUUGACCUCCAUGUGCUGUAAGGUGAAAGCCUGCAGCAAUUGACCAUUCUACCUUUGUAGGCUCUCUAAGCACUUAGAACUGAAAGCAUUGCAUCACAUUUUCAAGGCCCAGAAUCCUUUUGAAAGAGGCCUUGUGACCACAUAUGCACUAUACGUUAUUUGACAAAAUGUAUAUACUGAAGGGACGCAGGUGGCGGAAGGGACGCAGGUGGCGCUGUGGGUAAAACCACAGAGUUUAGGACUUGCCGAUCAGAAGGUCAGCGGUUCAAAUCCCCGUGACGGGGUGAGCUCCCGUUCCUCGGUCCCUGCUCCUGCCAACCUAGCAGUUCAAAAGCACGUCAAAGUGCAAGUAGAUAAAGAGGUACUGCUCCUGCGGGAAGGUGAAUGGCGUUUCCGUGCACUGCUCUGGUUCGCCAGAAGCGGCUUAGUCAUGCUGGCCACAUGACCCGGAAGCUGUACGCCGGCUCCCUCGGCCAAUAAAGCAAGAUGAGCGCCGCAACCCCAGAGUCGGUCACAACUGGACCUAAUGGUCAGGGGUCCCUUUACCCUUUACCUUUACCUUUAUAUACUGCUAAAUAGAACCUCUAAGGGGUUUUACAAGAAAUAUAUGUGCCCUUCUUCCUCUCACAGAGUUAUGAUUGGUUUAACAAACAAUCCCUCUUCCCAGGGAAUUCUGGGAAGUGUAGCUCUAUGGGGGGGUGGUCUCUUGACAACUCUCAGCAUCCUUAGCAAAUCACAACUCCUAGGAUUCUUUGGGGGAAGUCAUGACUCUUUAAAGUGGUAUCAUAGUGCUUUAAAUGUGUAGUAAGGAUGUGACCUGGUCGACUACCACUUUAGUAGCCCCUGGUCCUUCCAUCCCAUCUCCCUCAGAGUCCACACCAUAAGCUGGAGUGCAUCUCUUGACAGUGGUCCUUGCGACUCAUGUACAGGGAAUAAAUAUAUACUGAGGUGUAAUCUUGAUGGCUUCUUCACAAAUUAAGAAUGCCCUUUUUCAAGGCUUUCAUAAAUAGAACUGGGGGGGGGGGAUGCAUCUUGGAAGCUAUCCCUGGAAUGCCAAUUGGCUGCUGAAGGGCAAGAGAGGCAUUUUAGAAAUGAAUCCAUAAAACAGAUAAAGAAGAAGGCUCGUUUACAUAUCCAGCACUGUCAAAUGUUCAAACCUCUUUCACAUAUCACGGGUUAAUUAGACUUAGAGUUGGACUUCACCAUGCUUCCUCACUGACAUCAGGGAGACUUAAGUUCACCAUUUCCCCCUUAUUCAGCAAAAAAAAAAAAGGGUAGUAAGAGGCCACAUUGUUCUUACAAUAACUUCAUAACAAAAAUGAAACAUAUUUACUCCAAAGGAAGUUCCAGUGAGUUCAAUGGGUGAAUAGGUUCAGGAAUUUCAUGGUCCCCCCCCCCCCGCUUUUAAUGGAAUCUGAACAUUCAGGAAAGUGGCCUGAAAUAACUCAGAUGGCCAGUCUCCCACAGGGUUCAGCUCUGAACCAUCCCUAAUUUUUCAGCUUUAUACCUCUCUUUUUCAGCUGGGAUGUGCAUGAGGACUGUGGUCAUCGGAGUGACCUACAGUGGGUAUUCUAGGGAUUAACAUUUUAAACUCUGGGGAAGGCUGCUCUUUAGCGCUCAAUCAGAGCAAAAGGCCAUUCAGGUUUUCUCUGGUUUGACGUUUGCUCCAAUUUAGCACUAAAGAGUGGGUUUUCCCUGGGAAAAGAGCAGGGCGAGUGGAAAACUGCUUGAACUAUCCGUAAAAAGCAUGGGUCAAGUGGAAAGCCACUCAGAUCCAUGCUUUCUAGGCACAAGACAAAUGAAAGUGUGGGCAAGCCCUCUGUUAUUCUGAUUGUGCUGUAUUUUAGGCAGGAAAUGGAACUGAUAGAUUUUAAAUGUGUUAUUUGCAUCUUGUUUCAGCUUUACAUGUGCCACCCAGAGCACUUUGACCAGCCAGUCAACAAUCAAAUUUAAAUCUAUGGGUCUUUCUUUCCUUUCUUUCUUUUUGUCCUAUAGAAUUUGAACGGAGCUGGAAUGUUACAAAAUAAAGGGCGCCCCCUUUAUAUAUGUGUUCCUUUUUUCACAAUGCUGAAUCUCCCGCGAUGUUUUAUGGAGAUGCAGCAUUCUAAGCUAAUGGAUACAUUACAUUUAUUUUUUAAAAAAAACAGCAACCCACCACAUGACAAUCCCAGAAUACAGUGUAAAGGAUAAAAGGCAAAGCUCUAAAUGUGACCCCUUUCCUCAAAGUCGUCCUUUUAGCACGAGUUUAUCGCCAUCAUUCAUCUUUAAAUACACUCGCAGUGCAAGAGAAAUGCUGGAAGGUCUUCUAGAGUCUGGUUUUCCCCCUCCCCUCUCUUUUUUUAUUUUUAUUUUGCAAGAGGAAGGAAAUUGAAUGUGGCAGCUUGACUACGAAGCGCUGCUGGGAGGGCAGCAGCAGCUACAUUUCCAAGAGCUGGAAAAGAAAGGCAGAGAGCCCAGGUAGAUGAGGGAAAGGAAUCUUUUACUUCUCUCUGACGUACUCAAAAGCGAUUUGAUAACAGCUUUAUAAAGACGAUCUUGUACUUCAUUUUUGUUUCCAGUCAAAGCACGCUCGUUACGUUCGGAAGCGGCGUCAUAAGAAAGCACAUGAAAAUUUCCUUUUGGGGGGAAGAAAAUACAUUUUCACAUCAGCUUGUGAUAUUUUUUUUUUAAAGUCCUCGUGAAAAUUCAGCAGCAUUUCAAUGAUUUCACCCCCUUAAUGUAGACAUUUUGAAUGCAAUUUUGCCUGGUAAUGCAUAGUAAUAAAUAAAUAAAUGUCUGGGGUUUUGUUUUGUUUUUAAAAGAAAAUGUGAAAAGAAAAAGCCACAAAUCCUGCAUUUUGGGAAGAUUCCUGGAGCACCCUUGCAUUCUUACUAAUAGCCUCCUCAUGAGCGGUCUUUGGUGGCACAUUUUUGCAACCAACAGCAUGUAUUACCCAGUGUCCUUGGUGUUGCAAGUUUAUUUAUUGACUUUGCUCUCAUGCCAUCCAAUAGCCAUCCAAUAGGUUAAAACUAUAUAAAACUGAGCAAAUGGGCCUGGUCAUGGACCGGAAGACAGUUUAAUUCACAGAAUCCCAGGGUAAUGAGAUCCAGGAAGUUAGGCUAUCCAUAAUAGCUUCCGUGAAUUUGAAGAAGUGUAUCUGAAGAAGUGUGCAUGCACACAAAAGCUUUUACCAAGAACAAACUUAGUUGGUCUCUAAGGUGCUACUGGACAUUUUUUAUAUAUCUAUACACCAUAUUUUUUGCUCUAUAAGACGUACCAGACCAUAAGACGCACCUAGUUUUUGGAGGAGGAAAACAAGAAAAAAAAUAUUCUGAAUCCCAGAAGCCAGAACAGCAAGAGCGAUCGCUGCGCAGCGAAAGCAGUGAUCCUUCUUGCUGUUCUGGCUUCUGGGAUAGCUGCGCAGCCUGCAUUCGCUCCAUAAGACGCACACACAUUUCCCCUUACUUUUUAGGAGGGAAAAUGUGAGUCUUAUAGAGCAAAAAAUACGGUAUAUCUCAGCUUCCAUGAAGGUUUUACAACUAUGAGCUGGGCUAGGAUGGAGCAGGAGAGCUUUGGGAAGUGGCCAAGCAGUCAAAUGGGACCUGCUGUGCCCUUAGACUGGUUGCCAGGUCUCAUUGGAGAGUUUUGCUCUGCCCCUUUAAAGAAGAUAUAGUAGCUGUAUCUGAUUCUACGUAGUCCUUCCUGCUCUAGAACACAAAAGUGGUUCUGGGGAUAUGGAUGGCUGCAAGUACCAGGGAACCAAUGAGUGGGAGAAGGUACCUUUGCUGAAUUUCUUGCCCUUGUCUCUAGGAAAAAGGCAAAAUUUUGGGUUGUGACCUGGAAGCCUUGGACCAUGUAAAUUUGAAGGAGGUACAUUGAUAUAGGUUCUGUCCAUUUACUAGAGUGCAGAAGAGGGACUGGUUAAUCAAAAAAGACAAGCAGACAUGUUAAUAGCCCAGAGUUGCUUAGGGAUGCACAUUGCAGACUGGAGCCUGGACAACACAAAUGUUUAAAUCCACCUCGAUUGUACUGAAAGCAGCUUGGCCUGCAGCGGUGUGAAUGUAAGCAAACAAAACCAGCCAGUUAGCAAGGAGCAUUUCAUUCUGCCUCUGUUAUGUUUGUGAGAUACUUGAUGCCUUAUUUGCUGUAGCGCAUUGCACAUUUACCGAGAUCAGUGCUGAGCAGAAAUGGUUCUGACUGCCUGAUGGCCUGCAGGAUCAACAUGGAAAGCAGUGGAAACUGUGUUCAGAUGGUCCAGGUAGCACCAUUUUAAAGAGGUGCCAUUGAUUCCGGUAAGAAUCAAUUCAUUCAUUCAUUCUGGUAAGAGUUAACAAAGUGUGCACAUGUAUGGAGACAGGUAUCCACCUUAACCCUUGCUUCAUCCAUCAGAAUCGUCAUAUUUAUCUCAUUUGUAUCCCAACUUACAAGGCAUAUUACUUAUCUCCCCUACCUGCCCACUUAGAUACGCAAACUACCGUAUUUUUCAUCCCAUAGGACGCUCCGUCCCAUAGGACGCACCUAGUUUUUUUGGGGGGGGAAAUAAAGGAAAAAAAUUUUCCCUUUAUUUCCCCCCCAAAACCAGGUCGAGGAAACCAAACCAGGUUGAGGAACAGCGGGAUGGCGGCGCUGCGCCUCCCUGCUGUCCCCCGAGCUUGUGGGGCUGGCCGGUGUCUGCCCAGCGGGCAGAGUGCUCUGCUUCAGGGUGCCCCACGCGCCGGGUGGCAGGCUGCUAUCCGCACCGUGGGGAGCCCUGCGGGGAACUCCUGUGAAUGUAAGCUUUGCACUAAUAUUCAGGGUGGAAGUCAGAGUUUAUUGAAGUCUCAGAGCCCAGUACAGCGACAGAUGAGUAGCACAAAACAGUUGUGUUCCAUAAUUGUUCCAGGAUCACAUCAUCAGGGUACAUCUCUUUUGGUUUAAUUCCAGUUGGAAAUCCAGAUUUCACAGCCUAGCUGCCAGGAUCCUGCUCGUGAGGUUUCCUCAAAACCAUUUCUUAGAAAUCUGGCUCACCAUUCUGAGACUACCCACAAGGAAAUUGAAAGAGGCUGCAGACUAGAAAUGUGUGGUGAGCGGAACAAAAAGCAACCUGCCCACUAGGCAUCUCUUUAAAUGUCCUCAUUUAUUUCCACAGUGCCAUUGCACAACUUCAGCAUUGCACAAUUUCACAAAUAAAAAGGUGUGGGUUUUUUAAAGUUUGCUUUUUUAAAAAAUAGCAGUCAAAUUUUCUCUAACACACAUAUACCACACUCAAACUAGGGUUGGGAUAUUUCAAAAAGUAAAAUUAUUGAGCUUUUUUUUUAGGAAACCACCAAAAUUGUUGACCUUUUUUUUUGGGAACAAACCCAAAUUGUUGAUUUGUGAAUUUAAGCUUUUUGAGCUGUUUCCACUGCUUUUUCCAUACAGCCGGGUUUUCCUUGACAUUUUACCAGUUCAGCAAAAUUCCCCCAGGACUCCAUUUUUAUACCCGAAAACCAGGACGUGUCAGGAAUUUUCCUGACAUAUGGCAAGCCUACUCAAAUUGAAAAAAUACUUUCCGAGAAUCAGAUCCCAAACAGAUUCCUCCUCCCGCAAGUUCUGAUCCAGAAACUGUGAUGGAAAUCCAGAACUUCAAAAUAACAGGGUAGAAUCUAGUUGGGAUAGCUUCUGUAACCAUCCCUACCAAAGCCCCUUUAAUUUACUUGAGAUUUAAAUAUGCAGUUUUGUGCAAUGGAUUGUGGUCCUAAUUUGUGCAAAAUUGGGGUGCUUGCAGAGUUUAUGCAACACAAAGGACUUCAUUUUUCUUGGCAUGCAAUUUCUAUUUAAGAAGAGGAAGAUUACCCUUGCAACCUUGAAUAAAAUGUUCUCUUUAGGUGCUUGAGUGUACAAGUGGUCCUAAACUGCUUUACGUCCCCAUGUUCCAGAAAACCGAUACAAUGGCUGUUUCUGGUUUGUUUCCCUUUAAUGAAGGAGAAGGAACCGUUGAGUUUCCUGGUGAAAACAACAAAGCAGCCGACUAGCAGCCUGGCAUCCUUAGCAAUCUUCCUUUCUACUUCCCCGUGCAUGUUGAGUGAUCCGGGAUGAAAAACUAACAAGCACCUGUCAAAUCUGAGACAACAGGGUUGCGUUUGCGUGUUUUGACAGACGGCCCACUGGACUUUCCCUAUCAGGAGAGCCUUUAUGAGUAAACCGAGAAAAUCUCCCUCAGACAAAAAGGGAAAACCGAGCUCAUCAGAAAUUAGCAGACCCUUGGCUUUGGAGGGCACCCGGUCGCUGCCGAAAGGCUUUUGAUCACAGUGCUUUCUUAUUCAGAUUUGACAUCACAUUAUAGCUAAUCAAUACCUUGCAACUGUCCAAGUCCCCAGUCGGACACACAUCUCACAAUCAGGCAGGGAGGCCUGCUAAUUGAAGAAAAGUCAGAGACACAGGUAGCAUUGCCCUGGGGCCAUUCUACUCCCUCUUUCUCCAACACACGCAGGCAUUCUCGCCCCUCGCCCCUCCACCCAACCAGAAUCUUGGAAAUGGUGGAAAUAAAAUUUAGAGACAUGACAGGAACGGGAGAGCAGGAUCAAUUCCUGUCACUUGCCACCAGUGUUUACUGCUUUCCCGUGUCUUCAGAGGGUUUUAUUCUCUCCCCUCCCCUCCCCUCCCUUCCCGACCCCACCUUGCCUCUCUCUCCCUCUCUUGACUUAGGGGAACUUAACCUUUUAUAAAUGGGAAGAUGGUACCUUCAUGCAUUUUAAAUGGCUUCAUUCUCCCAUUCUCGAGAUCAGCUCAGGUGGAGAGAUGGAUAGAAAAAAAUAAUAUUGGAGCACUGGCAUUUAUUUAUUAAGAUGUUUGCCAAACAUUUUGCCCUUAACACAGCAUAAAAUAGAAUAAAAUCUGCUGAAUCCUGCUACUGCUAUUCUCAGCAGCGCGAGUGAAUAUUUUCAAUUCACUUUAUGGAAAUAAAUCAAAGCAUUCCUGGACUGUGAUGUUAAAGGAGGUGCGGCUUCUCUCUCUGUGUGUGUGUCUGUGUAGUUUAAAAUUUUACCUAUUUGAGGUAAUCAGCACAGCCUGUGGCCUGUCAUCCUGGGCUGAUCGCCCAAAAGAGCCCACAAGUCAUGGUGGAGGGAGAGUAGCAAGGACGGUCCCUAAAGAGCAAUAAAGCUCCAAUGAUGUCUGGGAUCAAACUGAAACCUUCUAUGCUGGGACAUCUCAAGCUCUGCCCACUCCUUGAAAAGUCAAAGGGUUUAAAGGGACAGGCUUCUUGCCUGGAGCUCCACACUCUGGUUCCAUGCAGCAGAAGGUGCUUGAAGGCAGUGAUGCUCACUGGACCUGUGUGCAGUCUUUGUCCCAGGUUCAGGGGCUUGUGUAUCGAGGCCCCGUGACCACCCUGUUCCAUGAGGUGCAGAUAACUAGACAACACAUGGCAUAUUGGUUUUGGGAUCAGAUAAGGCCACAGCUUUAUUGGUUUGGCCAUAGGCAUUGUGCUAAGCAAAAGCACAUGUCACUCACACCCAUCCGCUGGGAGUGUUUCUAAGGGUGAAACUGGUGGAGGGGACGGACGCCCUAUGACCUACUUCAAAUUAGGGUGUUCCCCCAAGCAGUCCCCAUUGGAAGAGUGGUAUGGCCCUAGCCCCCGUCUGGGCAUUGGACAGGAGCCACUCCUCCUGGAUCCUUUUAACAGGAUACCUUUACCCACGGAGGGGCAGGCAGUGGCUACAACCUCCCCUCCAAACAAGACUAGGCUUACCCAAUGCUUACCCCUGAUAAGUGGGUGAAUGGACUUGUAGCACUUCUAGUUUAGUCUGUGGCAUCUUUGUCGCAGGACGGUUUCAGAUCUUAAGAGGUCUCUGGAUCAGUGCCUCUCCAUAGGCACCACUGGCCUGACUGUGAUAUUCUCCAGGCGCUGUUGGACUACAACUUCCAUAAUCCCUGACCCUGCUGCUGAUGAGAGUCGUAGUCCAAAAUAUCAGGAGGACACCAUGUUGACUACCCUUGCAUUGAAAACAACUGCAUCAAAAUCACAGUGCUGGCCAUUUUGCCAGCUCCUUUACUUCCUGUUACCUCCAGCAAUUCCUGCACAGCCUGUUGUUGGAGGCAUCAGCAAGACAAAGGACCGUUUCCAAAAGAACAUGUUUACAUCCUCUGGGAGUGGCUCUUUGAGUCAUUCCCCAGACUAUAUCUACUCAACCACACGAGACCAGAUCUUCUGGAACCAAUUUGCGCAGACGAUGAGUUUGGAGGAAAUAUUUUUGCACACAUGAGCACUUCCAAGGAAUCACUUCCGCUUCUGUUCAUGGUUGCAACAUUUUGCAUUGGGCUUUAAAUUGGCCUCAAUCCAAGCACUUAACUCAUGCACAUGCCAGCAGAUAGAGCUUAGUCCACUCAAAAUGUCUCCCAGUAGGUCUUCUUUCAGGCCUUCAUCUGCAAACAGCCCUAUUUAUCCCCUAAGAAUAAAAAUUCAUGUAUUCCCAAAUUCAAAGAGAAACUGUGGGCUGGCUUGCCUGUUAAUUCUUUCCAUUAUUUUAUUGCCAGCUGGAAAGAAUCAAUUGACAGGAUAUUUUUUUUAACGAAAAGGAGGCUACCAAGAAGCAGCAACAGCAACAGCAGAAGAUUAUGUUUUGUUGGUGGACAAAACUUUUCCAAGUCAUCAUCCGCUUGCGUUUGCCGUUUGUUUGUUUGUUAAUUUUGCUUGCUUUUUUUUAAAAGAGAAAACAUGUUUUCUCCAC
Podarcis lilfordi (Lilford's wall lizard) is the source of this 20676-nucleotide non-coding RNA. The record is from the annotation of a GenBank genome assembly. Lineage: Eukaryota; Metazoa; Chordata; Lepidosauria; Squamata; Lacertidae.